This 126-nucleotide small RNA is filed under the name Marmota monax (woodchuck). The record is from RNAcentral. Lineage: Eukaryota; Metazoa; Chordata; Mammalia; Rodentia; Sciuridae.
GCUGGGCGUGGUGGUGCAUGCCUGUAAUCCAGCGACUUGAGAAGCUGAGGUGGGAGGAUCUCCAGUUCAGAGCCAGCCUCAGCAACUUAGGGAGGCACUGAGCAACUCAGGGAGACCUUGUCUCUA